Molecule: small nuclear RNA, 176 nt
Filed under: Saccharomyces cerevisiae (brewer's yeast)
Lineage: Eukaryota; Fungi; Ascomycota; Saccharomycetes; Saccharomycetales; Saccharomycetaceae
Description: SNR37
Rfam family: Small nucleolar RNA snR37 (bases 123-176)
Source: RNAcentral
UGUUUUUGGAGCAACAGAAAAGUAUAAAUAGAGCUAGUGUUGUCCGAUUGGCAAAAACUUCUUCCCUUUGUUACUUCUUCUUUAAAAUUCAAAUUUUUCUUUUGAUUUUUUUUCAAAAGGCUAACAUCAGUAGUGGUUAAUACUAUCUUUAGAUAAUAUUAAUUUCAUUAUACCAU